RNAcentral lists this unclassified non-coding RNA (174 nucleotides) under uncultured fungus. RNAcentral's name for it is "sequence contains ITS1". The record is from RNAcentral. Lineage: Eukaryota; Fungi.
UCGAGUUUGGUUACCUUUUAGGUACCUUCUCCCACCAAUUGUGAACCUUUAUUUUGUUGCCUCGGUGGGUGGGUAGUACCCCUACCUUUUUCAGUUCAAAACCUGAAAAACUCACCGAAGGAUUUUUCAAACUCGUUUAAUCAAUGUAUUCUGAGUUAACAAAAAAUUUAAACA